GAUUUCUGGUUGAACGUGUUUGGCCCGCCAUGGUUUCAUGUGUGAGUGCCUUGAUUCGUUCGUCCAUCCUUCUAGUACGUGUGCAUCGCUCUUCAGUGAGCGAGUGUGACACGCUCUAGAUCGUUUACUUUGAAAAAAUUAGAGUGUUUCAAGCAGGCUUUAUGCUAUGAAUACAUUAGCAUGGAAUAAUAAUUUAGGACUUCGGUUCUAUUUUGUUGGUUUCUAGGACUGAAGUAAUGAUUGAUAGGGAUAGUUGGGGGUGCUAGUAUUCAGCGGCCAGAGGUGAAAUUCUCGGAUUCGCUGAAGACUAACUUAUGCGAAAGCAUU
RNAcentral lists this ribosomal RNA (327 nucleotides) under Sandonidae sp. Its description in RNAcentral is "SSU rRNA". It matches the Rfam family "Eukaryotic small subunit ribosomal RNA", at positions 633 to 955 of the family's 1831-position model. Lineage: Eukaryota; Cercozoa; Glissomonadida; Sandonidae. The record is from RNAcentral.